RNAcentral lists this long non-coding RNA (233 nucleotides) under Brassica rapa (field mustard). RNAcentral's name for it is "long non-coding RNA (BRAP_LNC003380)". The record is from RNAcentral. Lineage: Eukaryota; Viridiplantae; Streptophyta; Magnoliopsida; Brassicales; Brassicaceae.
UUCUAUUAGGGAUGGGCGUUCGGAUACCCGUUCGGGUUCUGAUUGGAUAUUUCAGAUGUUUGGGUAUUUCGAUAUAGAGGUAUAGAAUCCGGGUCGAGUUUGGGUAUUUUUAGUUCGGGUUCGGGUAUUUUGGAUAUAACCGGAAAAAACAAAGCAUUUGAUAAAAGAAAAUUUAAAACCACAUAAUUUUUGCAGAAAAAAAACUAUUCCUCUUCUUGCUUUUGUUAUGUAAA